Oncorhynchus tshawytscha (Chinook salmon) is the source of this 544-nucleotide long non-coding RNA. Lineage: Eukaryota; Metazoa; Chordata; Actinopteri; Salmoniformes; Salmonidae. The record is from Ensembl.
GGCCUGGGUAGAUCAUGAAUGUCGUGGGCCUGGGUAGAUAAUGAAUGUCGUGGGCCUGGGUAGAUAAUGAAUGUCGCGGGCCUGGGUCGGUUAUGAAUGUCGCGGGCCUGGGUCGGUAAUGAAUGUCGUGGGCCUGGGUAGGUGAUGAAUGUCGUGGGCCUGAAUGUUGUGGGCCUGGGUCGGUAAUGAAUGUCGUGGGCCUGGGUAGGUAAUGAAUGUCGUGGGCCUGAAUGUUGUGGGCCUGGGUAGGUAAUGAAUGUCGUGGGCCUGAAUGUCGCGGGCCUGGGUCGGUAAUGAAUGUCGUGGGCCUGGGUAGGUAAUGAAUGUCGUGGGCCUGAAUGUUGUGGGCCUGGGUAUGUAAUUAAUGUCGUAGGCCUGGGUAGAUCAUGAAUGUUGCGGGCCUGAAUGUCGUGGGCCUGGGUAGGUAAUGAAUGUCGUGGGCCUGGGUAGAUCAUGAAUGUCAUGGGCCUGAAUGUCGUGGGCCUGGGUAGGUAAUGAAUGUCGCGGGCCUGGGUAGGUAAUGAAUGCCGUGGGCCUGGGUAGG